Molecule: ribosomal RNA, 253 nt
Filed under: uncultured bacterium
Lineage: Bacteria
Description: partial 16S ribosomal RNA
Rfam family: Bacterial small subunit ribosomal RNA
Source: RNAcentral
UACGUAGGGGGCUAGCGUUGUCCGGAUUUAUUGGGCGUAAAGAGCGUGUAGGCGGCCAGGUAGGUCUGCUGUGAAAACUCGAGGCUCAACCUCGAGACGUCGGCGGAAACCAUCUGGCUAGAGUCCGGAAGAGGAGAGUGGAAUUCCUGGUGUAGCGGUGAAAUGCGCAGAUAUCAGGAAGAACACCCGUGGCGAAGGCGGCUCUCUGGGCCUUACCUGACGCUCAGGUGCGAAAGCUAGGGGAGCGAACAGG